CACUGCCGUUGGUACUGGGGAUUGAACUCAGGGGCACCUAACCAUUGAGCCACAUCCCCAGCCCUAUUUUGUAUUUUAUUUAGAGGCAGGGUUUCACUGAGUUGCUUAGUGCCUUGCUUUUGCUGAGGCUGGCUUUAAACUUGUGAUCCUCCUGCCUCAGCCUCCUGAGCUGCUAGGAUUACAGGUGUGUGCCAUGGUGCCCAGCCGGAUUUUUUAAAUAUAGAAUGAAGUUAUAAUAUACAUAAAAAUAAAUAAACAAUAUAAAGUUAUUGUGUCCAUCUACAGCCCCCUCCCAAAGAAAGAAUGGUUAUAAAAAUCUUUGAAUGAUAUGGACUUGAGUACAACUUUGUUUUUAGAGAUCUUUGUGCUAUAAGUCAAUUCUGUGGAAUUUGUAAAAGGGCUUUUCAGUUUUGUCAUAGUAUUUACCAGCCACUGGAGUAAUUAAUUAGUAGUACCUUCUUGUACACUAAUCCCCUAAAUACAUGUUAUUUGACUGGGACAGUAAAGGCUUUCAUUUCAAAGAGACAAAGUCUUAACUUACAUAUUUAACUCACAGAGUUUCAUGUAUGGAAAGGCCUAAAGAAAAAAACAACAUGUUUUUGCAGAAGCUCCUACUUAUGAGAGACUGUUUUUAUAACCUCGUGGGGGGGGGUGGAUUAAGCCCCCAAAAGUAGUAGGGCUGGAACACUAAAAAUCCAGUGAGGGUACCAUCAUUAUUUCUGCUAUCAUUAGCAAAUGUUUAUUGCCUAUCAAUUAUAGGCAUGCACCACCAUGCCUGGCAACUACCACUUGAUUUUAUUGUGAACCUAGCUUCAUUAUGAACCUAGUUUUAUCUGAUUUUCUUUAAUAAUGACGUAGAUGUGAAUUAUCCAAAUUCAGCCUUUGGUUCAAAAUGAAGAGCUUUUUCUAAAAACUAUCACAGAUCUUAUAGGAUUUUUAUGUAAAUGAUAACUUCACUUGAUUAUAGACAUGUUUUUGUCAGCUGCCAUAAUAAUAAUUCAUAUUUCUAUUUAUAGUGUUAUAGUUUGGAAUCCCUGUGAGCAUUAGUUUCAGAAAAGGAAACUAAUACUACUAAACUUUUUAAUGUGCAGUGUACAAGGCUAGGGGCAGAGAGAAGUAGGAAGGAGUAAGUGAUAUUACUUAUAAACUUAGUCUCUGCUGGUAUAUUGUUCAGUGAGCCAUUGGUAGGACAAACCAGUAAUAAAUUAUCAAAUCUUAGUAACUUCUAAC
Molecule: long non-coding RNA, 1230 nt
Filed under: Marmota monax (woodchuck)
Lineage: Eukaryota; Metazoa; Chordata; Mammalia; Rodentia; Sciuridae
Source: RNAcentral